RNAcentral lists this ribosomal RNA (506 nucleotides) under uncultured bacterium. Its description in RNAcentral is "partial 16S ribosomal RNA". It matches the Rfam family "Bacterial small subunit ribosomal RNA", at positions 29 to 523 of the family's 1533-position model. The record is from RNAcentral.
AGUGAACGCUGGCGGUAGGCCUAACACAUGCAAGUCGAACGGCAGCACAGGAGAGCUUGCUCUCUGGGUGGCGAGUGGCGGACGGGUGAGGAAUACAUCGGAAUCUACUCUGUCGUGGGGGAUAACGUAGGGAAACUUACGCUAAUACCGCAUACGACCUACGGGUGAAAGCAGGGGACCUUCGGGCCUUGCGCGAUUGAAUGAGCCGAUGUCGGAUUAGCUAGUUGGCGGGGCAAAGGCCCACCAGGGCGACGAUCCGUAGCUGGUCUGAGAGGAGGAUCAGCCACACUGGAACUGAGACACGGUCCAGACUCCUACGGGAGGCAGCAGGGGGGAAUAUUGGACAAUGGGCGCAAGCCUGAUCCAGCCAUACCGCGUGGGUGAAGAAGGCCUUCGGGUUGUAAAGCCCUUUUGUUGGGAAAGAAAUCCAGCUGGCUAAUACCCGGUUGGGAUGACGGUACCCAAAGAAUAAGCACCGGCUAACUUCGUGCCAGCAGCCGCCGUAA